Molecule: ribosomal RNA, 253 nt
Filed under: uncultured bacterium
Lineage: Bacteria
Description: partial 16S ribosomal RNA
Rfam family: Bacterial small subunit ribosomal RNA
Source: RNAcentral
GACGUAGGGGGCCAGCGUUGUUCGGAAUUACUGGGUGUAAAGGGUUCGUAGGCGGUGUGGCAAGUCGGGAGUGAAAUCUCUGGGCUCAACUCAGAGACUGCUUCCGAAACUGCUGUGCUGGAGUGUGGGAGAGGCGCGUGGAAUUGCAGGUGUAGCGGUGAAAUGCGUAGAUAUCUGCAGGAACACCCGUGGCGAAAGCGGCGCGCUGGACCACUACUGACGCUGAAGAACGAAAGCUAGGGGAGCAAACAGG